AGAUUCUACAUGACAGAUUAGAUUAAAUCUCAAAAAAUCCUACGAUUCAUUUUAUUAUUCAUUAAAUAAUAAAAUAGAUGUAUAUUUGUAAUAUUAUUGAAUCGUUUCAUUCGC
This is a long non-coding RNA of Telopea speciosissima, 114 nucleotides long. RefSeq lists it as uncharacterized. NCBI's taxonomy places the organism in Eukaryota, Viridiplantae, Streptophyta, Magnoliopsida, Proteales, Proteaceae. The record is from RefSeq and is a predicted model, not a curated record. The transcript is spliced from 4 exons.